UAUUCCGGUAUGAUAGACCUCCUUCACCUUCGCUUUUCUUUUGCUCGUGUGAGAUUUUGGAGAAAACAAAAUCAAAGCCCAUAUUUCAAUGCAAAUAACUCAUCUUGUUCAUAGCUCGAGUUAGACUAGACAGGACCACAAAACAAAUCUGCAGUGAUGCAACAAAGUGGUUUAGAGUGUGUUUUGGGGUUUCAGGUUUAACCUCUGGAGUCCGAGAGCUGACAUGGGGUAGACACCUGUUUGGACAAGCUAAAUCAUAGCAAGCCAGUCAAAUCUCUAAUUCACCAAGAGACAUCAAGUGGGACGACAGACAAUUGACAUACUUGGGUGAAGCUCCGUGAACUGUAUUAUAGUCAAUAGUGAAGCUCCGUGAACUGUAUUAUAGUCAUUGCACUCUAUAUACCUGCCAGUUCACUCUCCAUCAACCCCACUGAGCCACUCAUCCAGUGCAUUUCAAAUGAAUUUAGGCACAAUUCUCUGGCACUCCAUGCAACCAUCCUAGCUACCGUCCAUAACGUUCUUCCAAGCUUUCUCUACAAAACUGACAAUGGGUUAGAGCUGUUAUGCAUCACAAAAGUGCAUAUUAUUAAUAAAAUGGAUCCAUCUGACGGUAGCGUCGAUGGUGAAGAGGCCUGGCAAGGUCAACGCGUCUAUCUGAUCUGAGGAUGGAUCGAUGGAUGAAGGAG
Molecule: long non-coding RNA, 686 nt
Filed under: Hordeum vulgare
Lineage: Eukaryota; Viridiplantae; Streptophyta; Magnoliopsida; Poales; Poaceae
Description: long non-coding RNA (HVUL_LNC002623)
Source: RNAcentral